Molecule: ribosomal RNA, 253 nt
Filed under: uncultured bacterium
Lineage: Bacteria
Description: partial 16S ribosomal RNA
Rfam family: Bacterial small subunit ribosomal RNA
Source: RNAcentral
UACGUAGGGGGCAAGCGUUGUCCGGAUUUAUUGGGCGUAAAGGGCGCGUAGGCGGCGCGGGUAGUCAUCGGUGAAAGUUCAGGGCUCAACUCUGAAUCGGCCGGUGAUACUCCCGUGCUCGAGCACUGUAGAGGCAGGUGGAAUUCCGGGUGUAGCGGUGGAAUGCGUAGAGAUCCGGAAGAACACCGGUGGCGAAGGCGGCCUGCUGGGCAGUAGCUGACGCUGAUGCGCGACAGCGUGGGGAGCAAACAGG